This 242-nucleotide long non-coding RNA is filed under the name Elaeis guineensis (African oil palm). Its description in RNAcentral is "long non-coding RNA (EGUI_LNC005047)". Lineage: Eukaryota; Viridiplantae; Streptophyta; Magnoliopsida; Arecales; Arecaceae. The record is from RNAcentral.
CCUACUUUCUCUACUUUAUUCUAACUUCUCUCCUUCUUCUUUGUUAUCCUUUAAUACUGACUUAAGUAUCAGAAAGCCCACAGCUAGAUCAGCUAUGACUAUUUUUAUCUUCUUCUUGUAUGCGGUUCGGUAUUUCUUCAUCCAUCAUUUAGAUUUAUCUGCACCCUUAACUACAUCAUCAGAUAGAAUUUUGAUGGCAACAUAUAUGCUGAUGCAUUACUUGUUGGAUGGUGAAGGGGCAC